AGGGGGAGCGUCGGAUCUUGGGCUGUCCCCCAGCGCCCUGGGCUCCAGGGCCUGCACCGCUAGAAUCGCGUUCCCCAGGCGCAGCCCCCU
This 90-nucleotide microRNA precursor is filed under the name Canis lupus familiaris (dog). RNAcentral describes it as "mir-8799 microRNA precursor family". It matches the Rfam family "mir-8799 microRNA precursor family". The record is from Rfam by way of RNAcentral. Lineage: Eukaryota; Metazoa; Chordata; Mammalia; Carnivora; Canidae. RNAcentral also lists the same sequence under 1 other name.